UAAGGAAUAUUGGUCAAUGGACGCAAGUCUGAACCAGCCAUGCCGCGUGAAGGAUGAAGGUCCUCUGGAUUGUAAACUUCUUUUGAUGGGGAAGAAACCCUGGUUUUCUAAUCAGGUUGACGGUACCUAUGGAAUAAGCACCGGCUAACUCCGUGCCAGCAGCCGCGGUAAUACGGAGGGUGCAAGCGUUAUCCGGAUUCACUGGGUUUAAAGGGUGCGUAGGCGGGCAGGUAAGUCAGUGGUGAAAUCCCCGAGCUUAACUUGGGAACUGCCAUUGAUACUAUCUGUCUUGAAUGUUGUGGAGGUCAGCGGAAUAUGUCAUGUAGCGGUGAAAUGCUUAGAUAUGACAUAGAACACCGAUUGCGAAGGCAGCUGGCUACACAAAUAUUGACGCUGAGGCACGAAAGCGUGGGGAUCAAACA
RNAcentral lists this ribosomal RNA (422 nucleotides) under uncultured Chitinophagaceae bacterium. Its description in RNAcentral is "partial 16S ribosomal RNA". It matches the Rfam family "Bacterial small subunit ribosomal RNA", at positions 355 to 774 of the family's 1533-position model. The record is from RNAcentral. Lineage: Bacteria; Pseudomonadati; Bacteroidota; Chitinophagia; Chitinophagales; Chitinophagaceae.